Molecule: ribosomal RNA, 690 nt
Filed under: uncultured Acidobacteriota bacterium
Lineage: Bacteria; Pseudomonadati; Acidobacteriota
Description: bacterial SSU rRNA
Rfam family: Bacterial small subunit ribosomal RNA
Source: RNAcentral
GAUCCUGGCUCAGAAUCAACGCUGGCGGCGCGCUUAACACAUGCAAGUCGAACGAGAAAGGGGAGCAAUCCCCGAGUAAAGUGGCGCACGGGUGAGUAACACGUGGGUAAUCUGCCUCUUGGUGGGGAAUAACUCUGGGAAACCGGAGCUAAUACCGCAUAAGCCUGGAAGGGGAAAGGCGAAAGUCGCCGAGAGAGGAGCCCGCGGUCGAUUAGCUAGUUGGUGGGGUAAAGGCUCACCAAGGCAGUGAUCGAUAGCCGGCCUGAGAGGGCACACGGCCACACUGGCACUGAAACACGGGCCAGACUCCUACGGGAGGCAGCAGUGGGGAAUCUUGCACAAUGGGGGGAACCCUGAUGCAGCGACGCCGCGUGAGCGAUGAAGCCCUUCGGGGUGUAAAGCUCUUUCGGCAGGGACGAUAAUGACGGUACCUGAAGAAGAAGCUGCGGCUAACUACGUGCCAGCAGCCGCGGUAAUACGUAGGCAGCGAGCGUUGUUCGGAGUUACUGGGCGUAAAGAGUGCGUAGGCGGUGGCCCAAGUCUGGUGUGAAAUCUCCCGGCUUAACCGGGAGGGUGCGCCGGAAACUGGGUUGCUGGAGUACUGGAGAGGCAGGCGGAAUUCCUGGUGUAGCGGUGAAAUGCGUAGAUAUCAGGAGGAACACCCGUGGUGUAGACGGCCUGCUGGACAGU